This 162-nucleotide microRNA precursor is filed under the name Marmota monax (woodchuck). The record is from RNAcentral. Lineage: Eukaryota; Metazoa; Chordata; Mammalia; Rodentia; Sciuridae.
GCGAGCGUGCUACCGCUUGAGCCACAUCCUCAGCCCCACUAAACAAGUUUUAAUCUGAUAUAGUUUUAAGUAGUAUAAUUUUUUCAGAUCAAGAUAGAUAAGUGAAUGGAAAAGCUACUAUGUUUGGGGCUGGGGAUGUGGCUCAAGAGGUAGCGUGCUCGC